ACUUUUAAUGGACAUUAGCAGUCCAAUGGUCUUAGGAGCC
RNAcentral lists this transfer RNA (40 nucleotides) under Agama boueti (Mali agama). Its description in RNAcentral is "partial tRNA-Leu". Lineage: Eukaryota; Metazoa; Chordata; Lepidosauria; Squamata; Agamidae. The record is from RNAcentral.